AGGAGAAGGCAAAGAAGCAGAGAGGGUUUAGUGGUGGUGGGUUGUCGAGAAAUUUCCGAAAGGCCAAGCAGGUGGUCCUGCGUCCGUUUGGAAGAUCCAAAAAGCAGCUUCCCAGAAAAGCCAAGCCAAGGGCUUCUGCUUCUGGAUCUUCCUAUUUUGCGUCGUCUUGUGCUUUUUCUUCAGGUAAGAGGUUUGGAGGAGAUGGCGGUAAUGGUGGUGGUAAUAAGGGUUGUUACUUUUGUUUCACGCAAUCCCCAACUCUGGAUUCCCCAAUGGGGUCUCAGACCAGUGACCCUGAGCACCCAAAUUUUACUUUUGGGAUGUUGAGAGCUUUUGUUGAGAGCAAUGAAUUUUAUUCCAAAGAUUGCAAUCCCCACUUAGAUAUUAAUGUUUCCUCAUAUAAAAUGGAUUGAAUUUGAAGGAUAUUAUUAUCAAUUUCUGCACUUUUUUGGUGUUUUUGUUGUGUGGAAGUGAUGAUCGUUAAGAAUUUUCUAGAAAUGAAUCGGGGAAGAUGUCGAAUUUUGAUACCGAUGGCAAGGGUGUUUGGAUUUUUUGAAAUUAAAUGCCUUUUGAUCUCGGUGUCAUGAUAGUUUCCGUGCUUUUUGACGGUUUUGAUGGUGCACAUUGGUUUUAAGAAUAUAUGCUUUUAGGACAGCAUCUAGGCAGCAGAUGGAGAAACCAAGCUUUGAUUUGAUUUCAAGAACAUAUUCUUCUCUUUUUAUCGCGUGAUUACAAAUCUAAGCCCAUAGUACAAAUGGAAACCACAUUCGUCUUGCAUCGCUUCCUGAAGAAAUGGGGUGUACAUUUGAAAGACGAGUGUAUUUUGAUCAACUGUAGGAGUGGAAGAGGUCAAAUUCUUUGAAUUUGUAAUUUUUCGUUCGUACAUUGUGUUUUUAUAUAGUACUUUUUUUCUUUUCUUCUGAUAUUGUGUAGAUUGUAGAAUGUAAAGUUUAAAACUUUGUCAAUCCAAUGACUGAGUCCGGGGGCGCCUCAUUUACCGCGUCUUGGAUGAGAUAUUGCGGUCAUGCUGUUGAGCAUCUACGGAGGAGCUUAUGGAUACAAUUUGUUUGAUGCAUCACUAGAUUUUCAGUCCUUAAGCUCAAGAGAGCAGGAUUAAGUUGUGUUUUCUGGUGUUGGUUAUGAUGGAUGAACGAUAUCAAUUGCUUUUGUUGGCCAGCAUCAAGAAACUACCUAGGUUAUAAAUUCCAAUACUCUUUCAAUCGGAGGCGGUGGAAGCCAUGGCAGCCCUUCAACCCCCGGUCCCAAUACGACGUAUAAGAAGUAGGUGCUCAUGCUGCUGUAAACGGUACAAAUGGACUGAUGAUAGAGAAAUUGCUCUCUUCUAAGGCAUGAUGGAGGUGCAAUCAACCUGUAAGUUACGGGCGGGGGUGAUGCCAGCGGCAAUGGCAGUGACGGUGGGGGCAUGGUGAAUUGGUGACCGUGGCAAGGUGGUGAGGGUGGUUGUGAGAAUAUAUAUUGUUGUGAUUUUUUUCCUAAGCCUCCUACUGUCUUGGGAUUUUUAGAAAUGACACUACUUAGAUGAAGCUUAAAAUUCAGGAUUCAUGACCUCCAGAUUGCAUGGAUUUUUUACUCACAUUGGAUUUUAAAUUUUAUGUUUAUAAACCCGAACAAGGAAAUUAGUACA
This is a long non-coding RNA of Pyrus x bretschneideri (Chinese white pear), 1645 nucleotides long. RefSeq lists it as uncharacterized. The record is from RefSeq and is a predicted model, not a curated record. Lineage: Eukaryota; Viridiplantae; Streptophyta; Magnoliopsida; Rosales; Rosaceae. The transcript has 2 exons.